RNAcentral lists this transfer RNA (127 nucleotides) under Fulvia fulva CBS 131901. Its description in RNAcentral is "tRNA-Val (AAC) (tRNA-Val-AAC-2-1)". It matches the Rfam family "tRNA". From Rfam's summary of the family: Transfer RNA (tRNA) molecules are approximately 80 nucleotides in length. Their secondary structure includes four short double-helical elements and three loops (D, anti-codon, and T loops). Lineage: Eukaryota; Fungi; Ascomycota; Dothideomycetes; Mycosphaerellales; Mycosphaerellaceae. The record is from RNAcentral.
GCUGCCCUGGUGUAGUUGGUUAUCACGUCAGUCUAACACACUGAAGGGUAAGCGUUGCUCUGACCACAUACCAUCGAGAUUCAUCUAACCAAUAUCACAGUCGCCGGUUCAAGUCCGGCGGGCAGUA